This 254-nucleotide ribosomal RNA is filed under the name uncultured bacterium. Its description in RNAcentral is "partial 16S ribosomal RNA". It matches the Rfam family "Archaeal small subunit ribosomal RNA", at positions 474 to 727 of the family's 1478-position model. The record is from RNAcentral.
CACCAGCGCCUCGAGUGGGGGUCGCGAUUAUUGGGUCUAAAGCGUCCGUAGCAGGCUUUGUAAAUGCUUUGUGAAAUCGGCAGGCAUAACCUGUCGGCGCGCAGAGUAAACUGCAGAGCUCGAGACCGGGAGAGGUUGGCAGUAUUCCUAGGGUACCGGUAAAAUGGGUUAAUCCUGGGAGGACUACCGAUGGCGAAGGCAGCCAACCAGAACGGUUCUGACUGUGAGGGACGAAAGCUAGGGGAGCAAAACGG